GUUUCCCACGCGGAUUUCCGAUAAACAAGGGGAAAUUGCGAAGUUACUAAAUUUGCCUGAUAACGCACACACGCAGCAAUGGCGUAAGACGUAAUGCGAAAUCAAGCAGUUAGCGGGCUGUGGAUUGCAGCUUGGCCGGCAAAUGGAAUCAGAUCUGGCGACAUUAUUCAGAAGCUGUUCCCUCAGUAAAUGCGCUGUUUUCCAUCAGGAAAUACAGGCUACCGAAACAUGCGUCUCUAUGCAGGCGACAACCGGGAGGUUGACGUCCCUGCGAUAAGCCACGAGGCCAUCGGUUCACUCCGGUCAUGCGGUUCUUUUUGUCCGCAGCUCUAUCAAUA
RNAcentral lists this non-coding RNA (338 nucleotides) under Pectobacterium atrosepticum SCRI1043. Its description in RNAcentral is "rne5". It matches the Rfam family "RNase E 5' UTR element". From Rfam's summary of the family: This family represents a conserved element found in the 5' UTR of RNase E mRNA. Lineage: Bacteria; Pseudomonadati; Pseudomonadota; Gammaproteobacteria; Enterobacterales; Pectobacteriaceae. The record is from RNAcentral.